GGUGCCCUUUUGGUUUUGUUUCUCUUUUCAUCAUCUCCAAACUUGAUGCCAUGUCUGGAGCAUUUACUCAUCCUAGGCAAUAAAGUUUAGGAUGAAAUGUGCAAAAAAACUAGCUUGGUAAGAGAUUUCCUUAUAUUAUUUUACCUUUAAAAGCAUUUAUCACCUGCAAAAUCAAUCUUUAUAUGGGCACUGAAGAAUAAAAUGAAAAGAAGCUUCUUCAUGAAGUUAAUUAUCUCCUGAAGCUUUGUAGCUUUCUGAUGCUACAAUACACAAUUAAAUUAUUUAGAAUUGACAGUGUUUAGUGAAAACAGGAGUACUGAUAAUCUACAGCAGCAGCUGCUUUACAAAAUAUAAGACACAUUGAAAUAAGAUAAAUUUUGUGUGUGCUUUCCUUGAAGUUGGGUGUGUCAGUACUUGCAGAAGCAAACAGAUAAUACUGAACACAGGUAUAAUAUGUUUUAAAACCUUAAUGCAUGAAACCUUAGAAUUCUAGAAUGCAGUACUUUCUGCAUCACCUGUAAUAUAGUAGCUGUUAUCCUGAACUAAAAUGUGACUUGACAUUGGCAGAACAAAUUGCUCUCAGACUCUAAUAAGGUCAUGACUGGAUACAGUUCUACAUAGACACCAAUUCUAUAAUGCCUAAUAAUUAUAUAUACUAUCUAAAUGCACUGUUCAGUGCAACUUACAUCUUAGGGCCACAUAUGAAAAAGGUUUUUUAAUAUUCUUCUCAGUGGAAAAUGUGUGUUUCUAAAAUUUGGUAAAAUAAGUAGGAUGUGCAAGAGAUAACACUGCGCUAAGAGUCUGCUUUGUUAAUAUAAAAAAAUAUAAUAAUGGGCAGAAAAAAUCUUCAAUCUGUGACUUAUGGUCUUUUGAAAGGAUUCUUGACCUUUUUUAGAAAAGCCUAGGAGGUUUUAUACUCUGCCCUGCUUUUGGGGUAGACUUAUUUCAGCUUUCUACUUGCUUUAGCAGUGUCUUGCAACAUCCUACUUGUUUACUUGGGAAAGAUGAUGGGAAGAUAUUUGUGCUUAAAUUCUUUUUAAAUGUAUCAUAAUUUGGGGGGGGGGAAUGUAAAUACAUCAGUGAACAUUUUUUUUGCAAACAUUUCCAUGAUUUUCUUUUGUCUGAUAAAACAUUGAAAUAACAAGUACAUUUGCACAGCCCUUCUCAAAAUCAUUUCAGCAAUCAUUCCUCAGAAAAGGAAGCUAAGCUUAUAAGGCGGAGAGGGAGGAGGGAAUGCAAGUCAUAGCUAUAAAAUUGAUAUUCUUUAUAUGCUGACUUAUUAUGACUCCAGUCUGCAUUACAUGGUAUUUUGUGGGCAAGAUACUACUCUAUUAGUCCUGCAUAAUGCCAAAUGUAAUAACACUCAGAAUUACCUAAUGGAAAGGCUCCUUACCAAACUGUGCUUUAGAAAUGGUUACAUUACAUGUAAAGAAUUGUAAAGGAGAGAGAUACAUGAGAAAGAGGGAAUGUGACAUUUGCUUUUACCUUCCAAGAUAAAUUGAUUAGGUGACUCCUAAUAUGUUGUCUGAAUAACAAAAAGUCUAAGCUUGGCUACAGUGCAGGUUGCCAAGUAAAUAGAAAUAAUUUCACAUCACAGAGGCUGUGAGUUUUAUCUGUGGAAAAAAAAAAUUGAAAUAAAUUUUCCCCAAAUUUUUCCAUAUAUUCAACAGCUGCAGACAUGACUGUUGCCUUGAAGAUUUUAAACUAGAUUAUGAUCAGACUUUAAGGCACAUAUGACAAUGUCUUAUGCAAUGUCUUAAUAACUCCUUGGAAAAACGAUGUAAGAGUAGUCAUGUCAUUUCUCUGAUCUGCUGUAAAAAUAAGUUGUUCAAUUGAAUUCUUUGUGAGUAGAUUGAAGGUUUAUGCCAGGUAUAAUUUUCAGUGUUAGAUGAUUUAGCUGGUUUUAGCUGAUUUUUUGCUGUACUUUAAUUUUAAUAGAGGCCAUAUGGUUAAUCUUUAAUGUCUGAUCUGGGUGUGACAAAUUCAGUGGGGAAUGCUUGAGAAAAGUGAAGAUCAAAUACCCUGUUAAAUAAUACAAUAGGAAGAAGCAGCUGCAGCUAAGAAGUGCCUUACCCAUUGGCAGUUCUAGAUGGAACAGCAAUUGGGAUUUUGGUGAUUUUUAGUUAGGAAAAAACUAGUUUGUUUCUUUAAUACUUCACAGACCAUGGAGCUGUCCCUGUUCAGUAUUUUCUUUUGAGUUUACUGAUCACAUUGAGUAAGCUUUUAUUUCCUUAUUGGUAUUCCAACUUCUGAAUAUCUUUAAAAGGGAUCCUUGCAAAAUUUACAAUGUUGACUCAGUAGACGUGCCCUGAAGGACCAACCACUCUUUCAUUUUUCCUUCUAAGUGUUGGUGUUACAUGAAAAAUGAAGGUCUGCUUAUAUUGAAGAACUCUCUGUCUGUAUGCUGACCUGAACAUUUUCAAAUAAAUGCAAAACAGCAAUGCUGUCACCAUGUUUUCUUGCACCAGCCUACAAUUUCAAAUUCUUAGACUUGAUAGGCUCAAGGGAGAAACCCUGGUGAGCUUUACUUUGUGAAGUAAGAAACCUGGAUUUUCUUCUUGUUCUUACUACACGUUACUAAGAGAAUGCCUGCCAAACAAAUUUGAAAAUCUUUUGCAGUUUUCUGCAAGGGAAAGUUUUUCUGCAUUGUUUCAAACAGAAAAAUCUGCUGUAGUAAGGCUAUCUGUUAAAUUGCAGAAUUCAGAAAUACUUUCUGGGCUUGAAACCAAGGGCUUUGCUAUUUAGUGUUGAAAUGUAUGACAGAAUUACCUUACACACUCAACUUGGAACUUUUUAUUUGGACCAGAUCCUUUCUCUGAACAACUCUGAAACCAGAGCUAGAGUUGUAUAUACAGCACUUACAUUCAAUUAUUUUGAUGUAGCCUAAGAUGAUUUACAUUUCAGAGCAAGCAAAUGUUAGCAGGUGUUACAUCUAUGUGAAGUACCCUGGUGAAAGAUGGUUUUGUACCUCUGAAGCACUGAUGAAUUCUCCACAGCAUUCCCCUGAGCUAGUGCAUUGUGCCUUUUGCUAGAGAGGCACAAUGGUACCAAAAUAUCUGAAGUGUAUUCCACAUCUGAAGUAAAUGUGCCCCACAACUAUUUCUCCUGCUAAUGCUGAAGAUAAACUAGCAACAAAUUAGGAGUCUGGCAAAAGUCUUAGGAUUGACUUUUGCCAUGAGCCUCCAGUAGAAGAUAGAAAAUAUCUAAGGUCCUCUGAUCUCUGUUUUCAUAUCUAAUUCUAGAAUUUGUCUUCUCUCCUUUAUCAAAUGUGGAAGUAUAUAUUUUCCUCUGUCUUUUCUAGAACAGUUUUGAUAAUGAGAUUGCCCUGUGAGUCUGAAUGUGCUUUUAAUCAGGUGCAAUAUUAUUUUUAUCCUCCUCUUAAAAGUUGACUCUGUAUGAAUUCUGCCUACAUUCUUCCAGAAUUCUUCAGCUGCUUCUAGAACAUGUUGACCUAUUUAUAAACUAAUAAAACUCAAAAAUAAAAAUGCUUAACACAUCAUGAAAUUACUCAAACUGUCCUUUUACUUCUCUCAGUUGUGCAUAUAAUUGCUCUCUUUUAAGCAUAAAACUUAUCCAUGUUGAUCUUUCAGAUGGCUAUAGAUUUGAAAGAUUCAGAGAUCAGAAAAUCAAAUUGAUCCAAUCUGAGAUGUUAGCAGAAUAAAUAUGGUUUAGGUUUAACACCAUAUGAGCCUCUCAGGAUUCCUUCUUAUAAACAUACAUAGAAAAGAAUUUGGAUCCUUUUUUUAAUAAUUUUACUAACUGAGAUCUCAGAUCCAGCAAAUCUGUAAAUGAAAAUCUAAUUCAAUAGCAAUAAUCUGAAGUACAUGCAAAGUUUGAGGAACCUUUGUGAAAUUCCACACUGGCUAUAGGAUAUCCAGUUGAUAGACCAGUUUAUAGGAUAUAUGAAAACUAAUAUUUAAUUGCAGAAAACUGUUUUAAUGGAUUUUUUUCUUUCCCCUUUUUUGUUUUAAACCAAAUACUCACAAAAAGAAUAAAGGAAAAACUACACUUCAGCAUUUAACACAUAUGGUAACUGAACCUGAAAUUUUCAUGGUGUCAGAAAAGACAUUUAAAUUUCUCUGGAGAGGCUGGACUCUCUGCCUCAGUCUUGUGAUCUAAUCUAGACAUAUAAAUGAUGGGAAAAAAAACUGGUUCAAUAGUGUUGUGCUACUCUGCAUAGUUAAAGUGGGCUAAGGAAACAUGCCUCUUAUUUGUAACCUGGGGUUAUUAGUCUCAUUGAUAUUAAUACACCAGUUACAAUCAGGCUAACAGUCAUACUCAAAAUAAUCUAUUUAUUACCUAAAGAGCCUGAUUAAUAAUAGAAAGUUUUUUCUUUCCAAGAAAAGCAAAAGUUUCAGCUAUCUGUGAGAUGCUAUUUUGUAUCAUUGGCUUUUAUAAACUAAGUUCUUAUUUUCAAAACUCAGUAACUUUACUGUUUUCUCACUCACUAUAUAUAAGUAUUUAAAAGUAGCCCAAAAUACAUCCUAUUAUUUUGUAGUGUUUUAAAUCCCAGAUUCCUCACCAGGGGGUUUAUGAUGUUGAUAAUGGAGUUUUUUUCAUCUAUUCUUGGGGUUUUUUGUGUCCAUGGGGUUUUUUAUGGUGUUAUUGCCCUACGGUUCUUUGGGUUUAUCCCCAAAAUUUUUAUUUUAUUACCUCCCAAGGUGCAUUUGUAGUAAUCAGUAACUGAUGCUUAAUUAUAUGUUUAAACCCACUUGGUCCCUAGAAUAAAUCUGUUCCUUCAAGAUCUUUGGUAUCAGCCCGUACUUAUGUGUCAGUGCACAACUUUAUCAUUCCAAAGCCACAAAUAAUUCUGCACAGAAUAACUGCUACUGCUUAUUGUUAAUUAAGAAUAUAUCAUAUUUAUAAUGUUUGUGGUCAUUAUGCCACACGAUUAUACUAAAGCUAAAAGCAAAUUAGGCAGUAGUCACAAAUAAUUCUCUUACACAUAUAUGUCUUAAUGCUAAAGCAAGCUAAAAGAAGAGAAACUGAGAUAAUAUGAAGUGUCCUGAGACCUCUGUUAAUGCAAAUCUUUUUGCCUGUUACAAGUAAUGACAAUACCAUAUCUUUUGGGCCGCAAUAUCACAGAAUCAGAGAGUAUGCCAAGUUGCAGGGGACCUACAAGUAUCAUUGAGUCCAUCUUAGCCCUGCACAAGACAGCCCCAAGAGUCACAACAUGUUCCCAAGAGCAUUGUCAAAACACUUCAACUUUGUCAGGCUUGGUGCUGUGACCGCUGCCCUGGGGAGCUGUUCCAGGGCAGGACCAUCCUCUAGGUGAAGAACCUUUCUGUGGUAUCCAACCUACACCUCCCUUGGGACAACUUCAGGCCAUUCCCUCAGGUCCUGUCACUGGUCACCAAAGAGCAAAGAUCAGAGUCUGUCCCUCCUCUUUCCCUUACAAGGAGCUGUAACUGCAGUGAGGUCUCCCCUCACUGUCUCCUCCAGGCUGAACAGACCAAGUGACCUCAGCUGCUCCUCAUACAGCUUCCCCUUAAGGCCCUUCCCCAUCUUUAUUGUCCUCCUUUGGACACACUCUAAUAGUUUAACGUCCUUUUUUAAUUUCAGUGCCCAAAACUGCCCCCAGGACUCAAGGUGAGGCCACCCCAGUGCAGAGCAGAGUGGGACUAUCCCCUCCCUUGCCCAGCUGGCCAUGCUGUGUCUGAUGCCACUCAGGACACGGUAACUUUCAAUCAGCCAGGAUCCCCAGGUCACUUUCUGUGGCACUGCUUUCUAGAAUCUCAUUACCUAGUCUAUCUAUACAUCCAGGGUUGGCAUAUUCCAGGUGCAGAGUCUGGCACUUUCCCUUGUUGAACUUCAUAUGGCUGGUGAUUGCCUAGCCCUCUAAUUUUUUUUGGACUCUCUCCAGGGCUUUCCUUCCUUCGAGGGAGGCAGCAGCUCCUCCCAGUUCUCAUUCAUCUGCCAACUUUCUCAGUAUCCCUUCCAGUCCUGCCUCCAGGUGAUAUCCAAAGAUGUGAAAUAGCACAAGGCCUAAGAUGGAGCCCUCUGGGACCCCACUAGUGACAGGUCACCAGUCUGAUGUCACCCCAGUUACUGUUACCCUUUGUGCCCAAACCAUAAGCCAGUUGCUCACACAUCAUAUGAUGUGUUUAUGCAGCUGAGUUCUGGACAUUUUGUCUGGAAGGAUACUAAGAGAGUAUCAAGAGCUUUGCUGAAAUCCAAAAAGAUCUCAUUGAGUGGCUUGCCUUGAUCCACGAGGUGGGUUACAUUGUCAUGAAAGGAAACCAGGUUUGAUAAGCAGGACUUUCAUGAAGCUGUCCUGGCUGUGACCAGUAACUGCGUUGUUUUUCCUUACCCCCCCAGAAUAACAUUCUCCAUAACUUUACCAGGCACUGAAGUGAGAGUGACAGGCCUGUAUUUGCCAGAGUCCUUCUUACCUCUCUUGAAAAUCACAACACUGUUUACCAGCUUCCAGUCAGCUGGGACCUCUGUGCAUUUCCAAGACUGCUCAAAAAUCAUUGGGAGAGGUUUUGCAAUUACAUCAGCCGCUCUUUGGGGAGUCUUGGAUGAAUCCUAUCAGUCCCCAUAGAGCUGUAAGGAACCAGCUGGACCAGCAGAUCCCAGACAGUUUCAGAGUUGAUUGACUGGGAGUUGGUCAUUCUUGUAGACAUGGUCCUCCAGUUCAGGGCACUGAGAUCCCUUGGUGCAUCAUCUGUGUUGAAGCAGAGGCAAAGAAUGCAUUAAGCACAUCUGCCUGGUCCAUGUCCCUGUUUGUGAGGUGACUGACCUGUAAUGGGCCAAUGUUAUUUGUAGAUUGAUUUUGCUAUUAAUAUAUUUGAAAAGAUUAUUUUUAUUUUCCUGCACAUUUUUGGCUAUCUUCAACUCUAGUUUGAGCUUUGGCUGCACAGACCUAAUUUACAUAAAUUACAGUGGCAAGCAGCAUCUUGUAGCAGCAUCCAUAGCCUAUCUAAUAACUUGUUGUUAGGUAAUGUAUUUAAGGAUAGACAAAAAUUAUUUUAAAAUAAGGCAUCAUACUACUUUUGUGCAAUAUUUUAUUUAUUUUGCACAUACAGACCACAUUCUUAAAAUCUGUAAUUCAGCCAUUGUGUUUUACUCCAAACUGAAACUUGAAAAUAGUAGUUUGCAAAUCAGGAUGAAAACUAUUAUUAUUUAUUGAUUAUACACUUUAGUUCGUGUUUAUUGGCAACUUCUAAGUAAUGCAGACACAAAUUUUGGAUUCAGAAGCAAUGAGAAUAUUCCUAUAAAAAUUAUUUUAGUAUGGAAUGUGACUUGUACUUUUGGCUAUUUUUAUAUAUCCAUAUAUAUAUAUAUAGCAUGUGAUAAACCAGUAAAUUUACUGAGUUUUAAAAAGCAGCACUUAUAGUUUAUAAUAGCUGUUGAGGGAAGACAGUGUCUCAUGUGCUACUGAAUCUUCUGCUCCCUUUCUAGCAAUGAAAAGCUUUUACUGAGUUAUCAGAACAUCGGCUUUAUUUAGUAAUAUUGUUCACAUGCUACUUUAAUUAGGUAAUAAUUUAUAUGUACAAAAAUUCCUUUAGAAUUAAUUUCAAAAGAAAUGUAUGCUUAACAAUAUUUUCAUGAAAUAGUUACAAAAGAUUAAAUAUACAAACCAGAAUGAUGUGAGUAUGCAUUUAGAUAAAUAGGUGUUGUCAGAAGAAUGAAUAGAAGUUAUUCUAGAAUCCAUAGAAUAGAAUUGUUCUCUAUUGAAUGAGAUCUUCAGUAGAUCAGAAUUUUGAGAUAUUUUAUAUUUUUUGCACAUAGCCAACAGCCCCCUAUCUCAUAUGACACCCACUUGACACUCCACCUUGUACCAACACACGCAGAAGGUGAACUGAUACAAGCGUAAAGGACACCUCUGUGAGUUUUGUGCUAGUAGGAACUGCAGAGCUAUGCCCUACAUAUAAAGAUAAUCCAAUGUGAAAUUACACUAUUUUUUUAAGAAAAGUGUUACCCACAUAACAAUUAUAUCAAAUACAUUGCUAAAAAUUACCACAAAUUCAAAAGGAGAUUGAAUUAUGGUUGCUAUGGAAACUGUAACAUGCAGCUUCCUGACUUGAUGCGUGCAAAAUUUCAACAUUAAUAUCACGCUGAUACAUAUUUUCACUUUUUUCUUCACUUGAAUAGGUGAAGAUGGAGGUUGUGUAAAAUAAUAUAUCCAUUCAAGUUAUAUAGCUCUGUCAUGCCAUCUAGUAUUUUUUGUUAACUACAGAGUACAUGUAGAGGUUUACAGACGCUUUACCAUAUUUAUGCUGCAGCGAAAAAUUAAAUGUUCUAAGCAUAUGUUUCUUACAACAGAAGGAAGAUGUUCUACCCACAUAGGCUAUUUUAUAGAAGGGCCGGUGGAUAAUCAUGGAUAUACAGAAAAGUACCAUACAUGGAAAACAAAGAUCUUGGAAUAAGCCCUGUAAAAAGGGUGAAAUUUAUUUGCACAAAAGGUUAUAAUCCUCAAAUUCAUUUGAAUUAUCAAGUCUUGGCACUGGGGUUUAUGUGCAGCCACUGUAAAGUGUGUACUCUUCCCCAGGUAGAUAGCUAUGGCAUGUGAGGUGCCAUAAAAACUUCAUGGUGAGAGCCAGCGUGCUGAGAAUCAGGUCAUUUCCCCGUGCAGAAGAGCACAGUAGCAUAGCUGUGGCUGAGGUGAUAGUGUUGAAGCAGACACCAUUUGGGCCUACAUGCAGUGAGUCCAGGUAAUUUCCACUUUGUCUGCUCUAGCACUGAGCUUUGUGCUGUUAUUUCUAGGUCCUUACUAGUACCUUAUGUAGAUAAUUUAAAGCUCCUUCAGAUUGUCUGUGUUGCAUUGCACUAGCAUGACUGUCUAACAUGCCCUGGAGUACUAAUAUAUUAAAAGCUAAUAAAAUACUUAGGAAAAAUGAAACCAUUUGAGAUUCAAUGUAAUUAUUGUUUUUCAGGAUCUCCAGGGCUUGUGGCUUGUUGCUGGAACAGCAGAAUACCUUUUAGCGACAAAAAAAAAAAAAAAAAAAAAAAAA
This is a long non-coding RNA of Taeniopygia guttata (zebra finch), 8957 nucleotides long. The record is from Ensembl. Lineage: Eukaryota; Metazoa; Chordata; Aves; Passeriformes; Estrildidae.